This is a long non-coding RNA of Acinonyx jubatus (cheetah), 562 nucleotides long. RefSeq lists it as uncharacterized. Lineage: Eukaryota; Metazoa; Chordata; Mammalia; Carnivora; Felidae. The record is from RefSeq and is a predicted model, not a curated record. The transcript has 3 exons.
CAAGGAGGAGUGCCGGCCCACGGGCGGGGAGCUGGGUCACGGGUGUGUGCAGGGGCAGAAUGUGCCAGAAUGUGCCAGAAUGCGCCGGCUCUCACCUUGCCCAGCUGCCGCUGAGAAAAACAAAGCACAAAGAGGGACCUGAAGUAUCUCCUUCUCGGGAGCCUGAUAAGGGACUGGAGUGGUGGCCAGAGCCGUGGAAUCCAACAAGAGGAACAUUACAUGGCAUGUGGCAUGGGGGACCCCCAGGAGGCAAGGAGGCCUUCAGAAAGGAGUCUCCGGAUGCAGCCUAGCCGUGCAGACCCUGACAUUGGACACGCAGCCCAAGUUCUCCAUCUUUAUCCUGCAGAAAAACUGACGUCAGUGCGAGUUCCCCGGGGCGGACACCAGGGCCUGGGGGGUGGGGGGAGCCGUUGUCUAACGAGCACAAAGCUUCGGUUUUGCAGGAAGUUCUGGAGGAGGACACACAGCAAUGUGAAUACCUGGGCGUUGCUGAACUGCCCCCUGGGGCAGGGCAAAGACUGCCGGUUAAUUCGGUGUUUGGUGAAGGCCCUGUGGUCCCUGU